This 2579-nucleotide small RNA is filed under the name Pongo abelii (Sumatran orangutan). RNAcentral's name for it is "processed transcript". Lineage: Eukaryota; Metazoa; Chordata; Mammalia; Primates; Hominidae. The record is from RNAcentral.
UUUGCAGUAGAAGUAUAUCUAAUUCCAUUAGCUUAAAUUUUUGCAAGCAUUUCUAAUCUCUUACAAUACGCGGUCUCUGCAAGGUAAGACCUCAGGUCCCCUGGCCCUUUCCCUCUCACACCUGAGGUCCCACCCACCAGGGCAGUACCAACUGGCUGGCUCCCAGAGGUCAGUGGAUUCUCCCAGGGGGCUUUGCCUAUCAACUUCCUCUAUCAGGCACCAUGCUUUCCACACAUGGUCCCCCUACCAACUCUGACCCCAUUUUCAACCUUUCCCCCCUUGCCAUGUUUGGAAUUUCUCUCCCUGGCUUCACCUGGAGUUUAAGAGUGAAUUAGAAACGCAGCUGCCCAUCACCUGCAGAUGGCUCUGCACCCUGUUGGUGAGGCGGUUCGUUCCUUGGUGCAGCCUGGGACCCUGCCUGAGCCAGAGGAUGUGUUUUGUUUAUCCACAGCCCCCAAAUAUCUCCCAGGCCUAUUGCGACGGGACCCUAACCCCAAUCCUGACUCCCCUCCUGGCUUCCACUAGACCCAGACCAGGGUGGGGGAGGGGGGUGGGUGCAGAUCUGGGAAUCAAGAAGCGCAGGAAAGGAAGUGUUAGAAACCAGAACUGGCAAGCUCACUGUCUUCUCUGCCUCCUCCAGGAUCCACGCACAUCCUCACCCCACAGAAACUGCUGGACACACUGAAGAAACUGAAUAAAACAGAUGAAGAAAUAAGCAGUUAAAAAAAAAGUCGCCCCUCCAAAACACGUCCCCAUCCCACAGCGCUCCGCAGCUUCCCACCACCGCCCGCCUCAGUUCCUUUGCGUCUGUUGCCUCCCCAGCCCUGCACGCCCUGGCUGGCACUGUUGCUGCUGCGUUCUCGUGUUCAGUGAUGCCCUCUUCUCGUUUGAAACAAAAGAAAAUAAUGCAUUGUGUUUUUUAAAAAGAGUAUCUUAUAUAUGUAUCCUAAAAAGAGAAGUUCACGUGCAAUUGGUGCACAGCAGGAGAAAUUUCUGGACUGUUAGGAUGAAUGGACGCCUUCUCCUCGUUAUUUAGGAUUUGUGACCUUGUACAUAACCCUGGGUGACAUGUGCACAUUGCUUGGGUAUGGAACGGUAGAAAUUUGGGUGUUUUUAAAACCUUGUUUGGGGUUGUUCCUGUCCUUGUUGAGAAUCACAGAGAUGUCUGUGUUCUUGGAGUAUUUCACACUGAGGACUAAUCUGUUAUCUUCAUUCCAGUCCCUACCCCUCAGUGCCUGCUCUCAUCCAAAUAACCUGGGAGGUGACAAUCGGGAUAUCUCAGGAGGUCCGAGGUGGAACAAACCUCUUUGCCUUUCCCAGAGUCUCAUACCCCCGGUAGUGCAGCUGUGGGUGGAGGCUGGGGUGUCUGCACGAAGCCAGGCCAGCGUCCUCCUCCACAGCCUGUCACUGCCCCCUCCCCAGCCUGUGUCCACAGUGCUGUGAUCCCGAGGGAAGUCCUCCAUUGUAAGUCACAGUGCCCUGACAGGUGAGAAGCAAACUCCCGCUGGAAGCCUCCAUUUCUUUGGAAAAACAGUUAGUCUGGAGCCUGUGGCCCAGGCCCUUCUGUCCCCAGGCAUCAUCCCAACAGCUCAUUUUCCCUAGUCAGCCUUCGUUCAAGGGUCAGGAAUGGACCAGAACAGAUGGGUUCUGGAGGCCCCUGAACAGAGGGCUAUGGCUGUGGAGAAGGUUCUUGGCCCGUUGGACUCACACAGACCCUGUACCCUCUCAGCAAGCAUCUUCAGUCAGAUUAUCCUCAGUUUCAGAUACUUCAUAAUACCUUGUGUCGUGUGGGGUCAUACAUCAUCGUGUUUGUAAGAGAAGAUGAUCAUUUUAUUCUCUGUAUAAAACUCAGCUCUAAAGCAGAAACUAAAGCAGCAAAUGCAGGAAGGCUGUCUCGCCAUCCUCAAGACUCAGCAGCUCUCAUUCUCCAGUGGUGAGCACACCAUUUGUGCUGCUGCUGUUGUGAAAUAUAAUAACAGUGGAAGUCACAAAAAUGUCCCCUGCCCAGCCCCCUCGCCGCCCUUGACCUCCUGCAGGCCAUGUGUGUAUUACUUGUCUAGUGAUGUCCUCUUAAAGUGCUGUACGCGAGCUCGGCGCCACCUCCGCCUCCCUUUCAGAGCCUGCUCCCCGCCCUCUCCGCUCGCUGCAUUGUGGUGUUCUCUUCUCAAAGCUUUGAAAUCUCCCCUUGCACUGAGAUUAGUCGUCGGAUCUCUCCCCGUCUCCCUCCCAACUUAUACGACCUGAUUUCCUUAGGACGGAACUGCAGGCACCUGCGCCGGGUGUCUUAUUCCCGCUGCUUGUUCUGUCCUCUCCCUCGGACCAAACAGUGCUCAUGCUUCAGGACCUUGUUUGUUGAAGAUGUUGGUUUCCCUUUCUCUGUUAUUUAUAUAAAAAUAAUUUAUCAAAAGGAUAUUUUAAAAAAGCUAGUCUGUCUUGAAACUUGUUUACCUUAAAAUUAUCAGAAUCUCAGUGUUUGAAAGUAUUGAAGCACAAACAUAUAUCAUCUCUGUACCAUUCUGUACUAAAGCACUUGAGUCUAAUAAAUAAAGAAAUCAGCACCCCUUCCCGGUGUCCAGGGG